RNAcentral lists this long non-coding RNA (705 nucleotides) under Nicotiana benthamiana. RNAcentral describes it as "long non-coding RNA (NBEN_LNC024104)". The record is from RNAcentral. Lineage: Eukaryota; Viridiplantae; Streptophyta; Magnoliopsida; Solanales; Solanaceae.
AGAAUCUAACGUACUGGCAGCUCUUGGCUGUUCUGUCCUAACAGUAAAUGAACAGGGUCGACGGCAAGCUUUAAAACCUAUGAUGUUCUUCAUGCCACAUUGUGAAGCUGAACUGUAUGACAAUCUUCUGGAGGCAAAUUGGAGGCCUCAUCUAUUGAGUAAUAUUAUAUUGUUUGGAAACAGUUUCGAGGCAUAUGAGCAACACUUGUCAGUGUGCAAAAACCUUACUCUUGCUGAUUCUAGGAAGCAUAUCCUGGCAAUCAGGCAGUUCGUAAAAGAGCAUGCAAUCAACUCUUUUUCAGAUGAUUUUUUUCGAGCCUUCCAUGGUUCCAGUUGGCAUUUUUUUAAUAUUGAUCCUCAUACAGAUUUAUGUGAUGCUAAACUAUGAAUAUCAAAUUUGUAUUAAAAUGUAGGAAAAUUCUCUCCUUCACCUUUUGUUUUCUGGAAUUAUAGCCUGCUGUUAAGCUCAAUUUCAAUCUUCUGGAGGCAAAUUGGAGACUUGAUCUAUUGAAUAAUAUUAUAUUGUUUGGAAACAGUUUCGAGGCAUAUGAGCAACACAUGUCAGUGUGCAAAAACCUUACUCUUGCUGAUUCUAGGAAGCAUAUCCUGGCAAUCAGGCAGUUCGUAAAAGAGCAUGCAAUCAACUCUUUUUCAGAUGAUUUUUUCCGAGCGUUCCAUGGUUCGAGUUGGCAUUUUUUUAAAAUU